RNAcentral lists this ribosomal RNA (1373 nucleotides) under uncultured bacterium. RNAcentral describes it as "bacterial SSU rRNA". It matches the Rfam family "Bacterial small subunit ribosomal RNA", at positions 28 to 1381 of the family's 1533-position model. The record is from RNAcentral.
GAUGAACGCUGGCGGCGUGCCUAAUACAUGCAAGUCGAGCGAACGGACGAGAAGCUUGCUUCUCUGAUGUUAGCGGCGGACGGGUGAGUAACACGUGGAUAACCUACCUAUAAGACUGGGAUAACUUCGGGAAACCGGAGCUAAUACCGGAUAAUAUUUUGAACCGCAUGGUUCAAAAGUGAAAGACGGUCUUGCUGUCACUUAUAGAUGGAUCCGCGCUGCAUUAGCUAGUUGGUAAGGUAACGGCUUACCAAGGCAACGAUGCAUAGCCGACCUGAGAGGGUGAUCGGCCACACUGGAACUGAGACACGGUCCAGACUCCUACGGGAGGCAGCAGUAGGGAAUCUUCCGCAAUGGGCGAAAGCCUGACGGAGCAACGCCGCGUGAGCGAUGAAGGUCUUCGGAUCGUAAAACUCUGUUAUUAGGGAAGAACAUAUGUGUAAGUAACUGUGCACAUCUUGACGGUACCUAAUCAGAAAGCCACGGCUAACUACGUGCCAGCAGCCGCGGUAAUACGUAGGUGGCAAGCGUUAUCCGGAAUUAUUGGGCGUAAAGCGCGCGUAGGCGGUUUUUUAAGUCUGAUGUGAAAGCCCACGGCUCAACCGUGGAGGGUCAUUGGAAACUGGAAAACUUGAGUGCAGAAGAGGAAAGUGGAAUUCCAUGUGUAGCGGUGAAAUGCGCAGAGAUAUGGAGGAACACCAGUGGCGAAGGCGACUUUCUGGUCUGUAACUGACGCUGAUGUGCGAAAGCGUGGGGAUCAAACAGGAUUAGAUACCCUGGUAGUCCACGCCGUAAACGAUGAGUGCUAAGUGUUAGGGGGUUUCCGCCCCUUAGUGCUGCAGCUAACGCAUUAAGCACUCCGCCUGGGGAGUACGACCGCAAGGUUGAAACUCAAAGGAAUUGACGGGGACCCGCACAAGCGGUGGAGCAUGUGGUUUAAUUCGAAGCAACGCGAAGAACCUUACCAAAUCUUGACAUCCUUUGACAACUCUAGAGAUAGAGCCUUCCCCUUCGGGGGGGCAAAGUGACAGGUGGUGCAUGGUUGUCGUCAGCUCGUGUCGUGAGAUGUUGGGUUAAGUCCCGCAACGAGCGCAACCCUUAAGCUUAGUUGCCAUCAUUAAGUUGGGCACUCUAAGUUGACUGCCGGUGACAAACCGGAGGAAGGUGGGGAUGACGUCAAAUCAUCAUGCCCCUUAUGAUUUGGGCUACACACGUGCUACAAUGGACAAUACAAAGGGCAGCGAAACCGCGAGGUCAAGCAAAUCCCAUAAAGUUGUUCUCAGUUCGGAUUGUAGUCUGCAACUCGACUACAUGAAGCUGGAAUCGCUAGUAAUCGUAGAUCAGCAUGCUACGGUGAAUACGUUCCCGGGUCU